UUCUUGAAAGCUUUGCCAUGGUUCUAUUGUAUUCCCACCACUUGUUCCAUUUCUCCAUGUAGUUAGCCUUUUCCUAACCUUCUCUUUUUGUCUGAAAUUUAAGCGUUGUAGCAGUAGCAGAUACAGUUUCUUUUCACAGGGAUUACCUCAAAGAAUAGGAUUACAGCCUCAAAGGACUUUUAAUGGGAUUAGAGAGCGUGCACCUGGACAGUUACCAUACAGAAUCCGCUUUGUAUUUGCUCUGUUUGACACUUGUCUUAGUGCUAGGCUUAGCCCUAGCCAUAGGUUGGACCCUUGUGGUGCCCCAACUUUUCCCUCGGAUAUACAAAUGUAACACUUAAAUGCUGUAUCAGGAAUUGCAAAGAAGUUAAAGACGAGAGAAUCUGAUUAUUUUGAUGAAUGUUGCUAUUCAAACCCUGCCUUUGAAAAUGGUUGUGCAUGGGAGAACAAACAGAUGAUUACCAUCGGAUGUGAUAUUUGGGACUGGUAUUUUUACCAGCAUAAGCUUUCAGAGAUUAUUGUGGUAAUAUGCAAUGUUUGCAAUGCAACUCUUAUACUACUUCACUGUAAAUUC
This 574-nucleotide long non-coding RNA is filed under the name Numida meleagris (helmeted guineafowl). RNAcentral's name for it is "lncRNA (ENSNMEG00000005116.1)". The record is from RNAcentral. Lineage: Eukaryota; Metazoa; Chordata; Aves; Galliformes; Numididae.